AUUUGGAGCUGAGGAUCCGCAGAAUCGUGGUUUGACAAGGCCGCAGCCCCAGCCCAUAUUUCUCCAGCGCCCAUUCGGCCAAUUCCAUUUGGGUUAGCAGAGGAUUGGCCUCUGAAUGAAGACAGAUUUCGAUUUUCUGCUUGAUAUUAUAGCCCAUGAUGUUUUUAUUACACUUUUUAUUAUAGCGUGUAUGUGUGUGGGUGACGUUAAAGGACUGGAAUGUAUAGUAGAUAAUUAGUCAAAACAGUUGAGGAUGUCAAUUAGUUAAAACCAAUCAGUUCAAGAUUAAGAUUUGGGUCGGAGAUGUUCUUUGGUUCAAUGGAGAUAUCUAAUAUAUGCUUGGUAAUACUAUUUUACUUUCUGGUGUGGAGUCAUUAAGUGGAAUGGGUGAGAGUAGGUGUGAAUCGUGUGAUGUUGUCAUGCAGCGCUGCCUGCAGGACUCGGGUGAGUGCCCUCCAAAACCAUGUACAGAGUCUUAGGGGAAUCGAAUUUGAGAAUUUGAGCUUGAAGUAUUGAGGAAAAGGAAAUCCCAAGUUUUUGGGAAUUUUUAGCUUGUGGUUGGCUAUUUGUGCUGCCUGGUGUGCUAAACAGAUGUGGUGUGCUAAGUGCAUAUUCGCAGUAUGCGCUUACGAUGCGAUGUGCACUCAACUCACUUGCUAUGGGCAUUUACCUUCAAAAUGACUUAUAAAGGACCCUUUAAAAUUCCUUAAGUUAAUACAUUCUGACUGUUGUCUUAAGCACACUAAAAAAUGAUAACAUAUUUAUUGGCGUGGGGAAUGUUCAUUAGGGAUGACUCUCAAGGUGUGUUUUCAGGCAUAUAGCACCAUGAGCAGAGUAAACAAACACCAAUACACAUGUAUGAAAACAUAAGAGCAAAGUCAGGUAAUUUAAGAAUAUCUAGUUUAUUGAUAGAUAAUGAGUUGAUGGAAAAAAGUGAAAUAAUAGAAUCAGCGAUGGGGGACUUAGAUUUGCUCAUCACUCAAUAAUAACAAUAAUAAUUAUUAUAUGGACACGAGCCCUGAGCAUCCACUCACUUCCACUUGACCCCAAUGGAAAACUAAUUGUUUAACUUAAAAAGAUAAAGAACUCCUUGAUGUAUGAUUUCAGAUUCCUAAUAUAUCAGAAAUGAAAAAAAAAAACAAAAAAAACAAUGGUAUGAAUUUGAGCUCAUAGUUGUUAGAUUCUUGUUGUAACGUUUGUACUAAGUUAUCUAUAUUCGUUGAUGAUUCCUCCUAUUUUUCAAAAUUAUUCAAACCAGCGUGACAAAACUAUUCAAACCAGCGUGACAAAAUGUUUCAAACCAGCGUGACAAAAUGGUUCAAACCAAGAAGACAGAAUGGUUCAAACCAAAUGGAGUAAUGUUUCACACCAACUUUUAUUAGAAUUCAAUAUUCUGAAAUCUUAAAUCUGGAGGAUUGCGUCAUAUGGUACUACAUUUGGGAGUCUUGCAGUACUAAUCAAGGGUGAAAUACGGACGGAACUGAACUGGUUUCAUUAUUAUCCUCUAUACAACAACUUGUCCAUAUGGUUUGAAAGACUAUGCGAAGGGGUACGAAACAUUUUGGCGCGCUAGUUUGAAUCAUUUUGUCGCGCUGGUCUGAAUCGUUUCGAAUAACACUGUACAGUAGAUUCUUACAUGUCAACAGUAAAUGAACAUGGGUAAGUCGAUCCUAACCUCCAAGCAUAACUGUUAAUGAAACAAUUUUUUGUUUUAGGGAGGGAAAGGGAAACUGGUUAAAAUUCCAGUACUUGGAUAUGGAAACGGUAACGUAAAGAAUGUGAAGACAUUGGAAUAAGUUCUGGAAAGAGUUUUCUUUUUUUUAUAACAUUCAAUAACCUUGGAAAUGGAUUAACCAGAGAGAAGGUUUGGGAAUGGAAUAGUCACGACUCGUUUGUGGCCCAGUGCACUUGUUACAAUCCUUGAAAAUUCUCAUAUCUAUGCAUGCCAAGUCGUACUCAUAUCCGCAGCAGGUCUCCAAGGUUAACAGCCUCUAGUUGAUGUAACAAAGUAGUUAAGGGAAGUCGGCAAAAUUGAUCCGUAACUUCGGGAUAAGGUUUGGCUGUGGUGGUCGGUCGGGCAAUAUGUGGUGGUGGUGGUUGACUUUCGGGUUUACUGCCUUGCCUCGCUCGACAAUCGACCGUAUCAGAACUGGUACGGACUUUGGGAAUCUGACUGUCUAAUUAAAACAUAGCAUUGCGAUGCUCCCAACGGACGUUGACGCAAUGUGAUUUCUGCCCAGUGCUCUGAAUGUCAAAGUGAAGAAAUUCAACCAAGCGUGGGGUAAAUGGCGGGAGUAACUAUGACUCUCUUAAGGUAGCCAAAUGCCUCGUCAUCUAAUAUUAGUGACGCGCAUGAAUGGAUUAACGAGAUUCCCACUGUCCCUAUCUACUCCGCGAAACCACAGCCAAGGGAACGAGCUUGGCAAAAUCAGCGGGGAAAGAAGACCCCGUUGAGCUCGACUCUAGUUUGACAUUGUGAAAAGGCAUGAAGGGUAUAGAAUAAGUGGGAGCUUCGGCGCCAGUGAAAUACCACUACCUCCAUCGUCUUUUGACUCAUGAAAGAAUUACUCCAAGUACAUUUUUUUUUAAAAUUCAGAAACUGUCUAAUGGGGAGUUUGACUGGGGGGGCACAUCUGUUAAAUAAUAACGCAGAUGUCCUAAGGGGCGGGCUCACGGAGAACAGAAAUCUCCAGUAGAAUAAAAGGGUAAAAGCCCCCUUGAUUUUGAUUUUCAGUGUGAUUACAAACCAUGAAAGUGUGGCCUAUCGAUCCUUUAUGUUUACCUCAGAAUUUGAGGCUAGAGGUGCCAGAAAAGCUACCACAGGUAUAACUGGCUUGUGGCAGUCAAGCGUUCAUAGCGACAUUGCUUUUUGAUUCUUCAAUGUCGGCUUUUCCUAUCAUACCGAAGCAGAAUUCGCUAAGCGUUGGAUUGUUCACCCACUAAUAGGGAACGUGAGCUGGGUUUAGACCGUCGUGAGACAGGCUAGUUUUACCCUACUGAUGGAUGAUUGUUACAAUAGUAAUUGAACGUAGAACUUAGUACGAGAGGAACCGUUCAUUCAGAUAAUUGGUAUAUGGCUUUGUUUGAUAAAGCAUUGAGCCGAAGCUACCAUCUGUUGGAUUAUGGUUGAAUGCCUCUAAGUCAAAAUCCAUGCUAGAAGUAAUGAUGUUUGAGUAGACUCAAAUUGCCUUAUGAGUGGUGGAAGACCCAUAUUCUAUCUUACACACCAUUGAAAUACAGUAGACAUGGACAUACAGUAGAACAUGGGCAUACAGU
RNAcentral lists this ribosomal RNA (3276 nucleotides) under Metschnikowia santaceciliae. Its description in RNAcentral is "eukaryotic LSU rRNA". The stretch from base 1083 to 3276 matches the Rfam family "Eukaryotic large subunit ribosomal RNA". The record is from RNAcentral. Lineage: Eukaryota; Fungi; Ascomycota; Pichiomycetes; Serinales; Metschnikowiaceae.